This is a long non-coding RNA of Brienomyrus brachyistius, 1435 nucleotides long. RefSeq lists it as uncharacterized. NCBI's taxonomy places the organism in Eukaryota, Metazoa, Chordata, Actinopteri, Osteoglossiformes, Mormyridae. The record is from RefSeq and is a predicted model, not a curated record. The transcript has 3 exons.
UUUAGCUGCAUGCAAGCAGACAGAGGAAUCCAUCAGGCUGACACCACUUAAAGCCUUGGAGCAGCAGGUAUCCGGCUGGGUGUGGUACUGAAAUUGUGACCAUGCCGCUGCUUUCUUGUCCUUAAUUGAUUUUGUGACUAACCCUUAGAUUGCAGACGGUAUGUUAAGCCAGUCAUUUAGGGGAGGAGGGUAUAUAACAAUAAACUGGAUGACAUUAGUCCAAACGAAGGUAUCAGAACAGAUUAAUAUCAAUCAAAGGCAACAAGACGGGAUAUAUCGUCGAACGAAACAGCAGCUUGGGACUUGGGCUGGUUUAUUCGAAGGCGGACUGCCGCGCUGCCGAACAGGCGAAGCCGCUUAACUCGGGACAGUGUGACAGCAGGUGACAGUCGCUGUAUUGAGCGGGUGUUGUGAGCAGUCUGACAUCUCCAGGCUCUUCUGUCCGAUCGAAGAGAGCAGCCUUUUUAUGGCAGUGCCCGCAUUUAAUGCCCCCCUCCCCUUUACGGGAACAGUGUCCCCCCCGGUGUCACAAAGAGGAACCUCCACCCACGAAGAAUGAUGAGCGGCUCUCAGAGGAGCAGAGCCCCUAGAUAUGGCUCCCCCCAGAGCAGCAUCACUCCCAUCACUGUCUUGUUCCCAAUCCUACAUUUUAUGAAUAAAUUCAAAAACAAAUAAGCAAAAAGCAACGCGGACACGUAAGCAGCCAAUCAGGGAGGAGCAAGCGUUCACCUCAUCGUGACGUAUUCAUUAAAGUGGGAAAUGGAGAAGCGUCUCGCGAAAGUCGCCAUGUUUGUGGCAUGUGGAAAAGCUGGUGGAAACAAGCAUUCUUUAAAGAUAUAUCUAUGUUCAGCUGACUGUGUUAUGUGGCUGCUUAAGAUUUAACUUGUCUGUUUUAAUAAGCAUGCAUUUCACGGUAAAUUAUUUGAAAUAAUGCAACUGGGGAACUUAUGUCCCAUGACAGAAUUCAUGAACCUCUUUACCUAUCCAGACAAUUAACUUGUUCUAAUCGGCGUUUACAUCCAUGGGAAUUUAAACGCGGACUUGUGAGCAUGCACAGCUGUAUUCUAUCAUUAUAGUUUUGAGGGAAUUAAGUCAUGCCUCUGUCGAAUUGACUAAUAAACAAAUAAACUGACACAACCGAGGGAACGAAACACUGGAUCACUGCUGUGAAGUAUUUUUUAAAAUCUAUAUUAUGUGUUUCCCCAACCACCGCUCGUUCAGUUCUGGUUGCGCCUUAAACAGGAGCUGUACCAGAUUCGGCAUCCCUGAAGUGAAACUAGUCCCCUAUCGGGAGCGCGCACAUCCCUGUACUAAAAUGCGUCCAUCUAAACGCACUACAGAAAUAGGAAAUUAUCUUUGCACAUUUUAAAUAAGUAUAUCAAUCUGAUAAACUAUGAGGUUGCAUGUCAACGAUGAGCCUUGAACGAGAACAUUU